Calypte anna (Anna's hummingbird) is the source of this 2885-nucleotide RNA transcript. It is a transcript of the gene named phosphatidylinositol glycan anchor biosynthesis class L, with no coding region annotated. NCBI's taxonomy places the organism in Eukaryota, Metazoa, Chordata, Aves, Apodiformes, Trochilidae. The record is from RefSeq and is a predicted model, not a curated record. The transcript has 8 exons.
GGGGGCGCGGCAGCGCUGAGGUGGGGGGGUCCCGGCAGCACCGGCACUGCUGAGGGACCUAGCCCGGCCCGGUGUCCCUCUGGGUGAUGCUAAUGACCGGAGGGAUGGGAGCGCCUCACUUUACCUCACGCCACACGGGACAGCCAGCAGAUGUGCAGAUAGCAGGAGGUGUCUGCAGAUAAGCUCCUCUCGCCCUGCUUUUGAGCUUUCCCUUGGCCCGCGUCGCUUCCACAGUAGCACCGCGCAGAGAUAACAGGAAAUUAUUACAAUCAAGGAGAGAUUCGCAAGAAAGAGCUGGAACAGAGUUGUUUCCUUCUGGGGAUUCCUGCUUCUGCUGUCACAGUCCUUGAUCACAGGGAUCUCCCAGAUAAUCCUGCUGUUGCAUGGGACAUACAGCUCCUCGCCACCUUGGUGCUGAAGCACAUAGAAGCCAAUAACAUCAACCUUGUGAUAACCUUUGAUGCAGGAGGAGUGAGUGGUCAUGCUAACCACAUUUCUCUUUACACUGCUUUAAGGUACCUGCAUACAGAAGGGAAGUUACCUGAAGGGUGCCUCGUGCUUGUGCUUGAAUCAGUAAAUCUCUUCCGCAAGUACCUCUCCAUCCUGGAUCUGCUUUUUUCCUGCCUCCAGCCCAGAGAUGCCCUCUUCAUACUCACAGAGGAGGAGACUGAACAAGCCAGGAGAGCCAUGAGGUGCCAUCGCAGUCAGCUCCUCUGGUUCCGCCGCCUCUAUCUGCUCCUCUCACGUUACAUGGUGAUCAACUCACUCCACCUGCUCCCAGAGACACAUUGCAGGACUAAACAACUGAGCAAAUAAAGGACCACGCCAGGCCCAGGACUGAAGAAAACUCACCUGUUCCGUGUUCAAGAGGACAGGAUUCUCUUCAUGUAACAUUCCUUCAGACCACAAAAACCAGGCUGGGUAAAUUUCCUUCUUAGCAUCUUGUUGCCUGAUACACUCAGAUGAACAGAGUCACUGUAGAAACUUAACUAGGUUAAGAAAUUUGGAUUAACCUAAUUGGGAAUCAAAUGCAGGAGUAUUCUGCAUCAGAGAAGAUAUGACUGUUUGUUCUCAAGAGGACAGAGCUGCAAGGACUGCCUGGAAGCUAUUUCUUGGUGCUUUUGGAGAAUCUAGUAUGAGGAAUGACUUUUCAAAGAUCAUUCUAUCUCCACAGAUAAAACCAAAACCACAGGGCCUAUCUUAUUCAGUCAGAACUGUAAAAAGCCAAAGCUUAUGAAUAAAACAUCAGAAGUCAAACAGUUUUCUCUAAUUCCACUGAUCUUUGCUGCUACUGCUGCUGCUUUCAUGCACACUGUGUUGCAGGCUCCACCUUCAGUGUCCCUCAUGAAACAUGAGCAUUUCUUUGUGCUUCAGAACAUUGGCCUCAAGAUCAACUCAUGAGAGUCAAUAGGGUGUUAAAGCAAGGUGCAAGAGAUCCACACCCAGGUCUUUUAUAGAACACGUGCAGAGAUAAAAAUUACAAGAGGUGUUUCAAAAACUGUUCCAUUUUUAUAAAAGAGAAGUGCAAGAGUUACAGAACCUCUCCCUUUUUGCUAAAAGGAAAGUGAAGCAGCUUUCAGUAGUUUCAUUUUUUAGCCUAUUAGUGAUAUGGUUUUCUGUGAGGUGAUGGUGGAGCAAAGUCAGCAACCCCCAACAUUUCUGUAGGCUUUGCACUUAUUCAUGUCAGCUCACCUCUACAGGAAGGAUCUUGCCUGCACCUGCACAGCAAACCAUAGUCAAGGUCAGAGCUCAAACUGCCAGAUCCUGAUCUGUUGCUGUGAGCACAUCCUCCCCUUAAGACAACAAACAAUUUCCUGGUUGCACUGAAGUACCUGCCCAUUGCUGGAAGAGGGCUGACAGUUGUGAACUCUGCUCCCUGGCCAUGAGCCAGUGCCUAAGCAUCUGCCUGCUCAGGCUUAAAACCACGAGUAAGUCCAGGCUUAAGCAAAGGAAUAAUUUCAGUGGCCCCUCUCUUGCACAGAGCUCAUCACCUGUGUCCUUAUUGAACUGGAGCCCACUAAGCUCUUUCAGAUCCUCUUUAACCUUAAAGUCAUGGUCAAUUAAUUGAAGAAAAUUUUCUCAAUGGAGAAAAACCAGUGUAAGUUAGUACUAUGUCCUGAGCAAGAGUUUUUCUUAAUAGGAGAUUAUUGUAAACCAGACUUGAAACACAGGAAAUCACAGAGUCACCAUAGUUGGAAAGAACCUUCAAGAUCAUCAAGUCCAACCAUCAAUCCUACACAGAUAUCUAUACAAGAAAAGAUUAGAUUAUUUUUUGUACUUUGUUGUGAUUUCAACUUUAGCACAGCAAAGGUCAAGAUACCAGAGUAGCAGCCCUUGGGGCCAUUUAUAGAACAGAGAUAAUUUGAAAACUGAAAGUCAGAAAUGAAUGAGACAGGCAGCAUAGGAAGAUUUAUUUAAGAAACAGAGAACUAGUAACCAUUAUGUAGAGAUUAACUUUGCCAGCCCCCUCCCAGGAAAUCCUAGAUAACAGUUCCAUGGCAGUGUUCCCAGUUCAGCUGCUGGAAAGGUGUGUCACAGCUUUGACAUGUCUCUGAUGGUCUUGUGUUCCUUCAUUGCCUUCUCCCAUUCUUUGCCAUUGAUGUCCUCUGUGACAACAGUCUGCACAGUGCCAUCAUCCAGACAAUGGGGAGCUAUUCCUGGAGAAAGAGAGAGUACAUUGAAACCUGCUUGUCAUAGCUGAAGUGUAGGAGAUGCUGUCAUGAGCAGGAUGAGUUAUGCAUUUGUCUCAGACAGGCUGAAGGCCUUGAGAAGAAACAGCUUGAGACCUUUUUGAGGAUUAGCUUUAAUGCCUGCAAGUUCUGUGUGUUCAAUAAAGCUGUGUAGUUGCACCCAAUCUUAUGUUAUCUUUAGCUUGUUCUUGUGGG